Molecule: microRNA, 23 nt
Filed under: Drosophila melanogaster (fruit fly)
Lineage: Eukaryota; Metazoa; Arthropoda; Insecta; Diptera; Drosophilidae
Also listed under: 1 other name
Description: piRNA piR-dme-20570537
Source: RNAcentral
AUGGCACUGGAAGAAUUCACGGC